RNAcentral lists this ribosomal RNA (497 nucleotides) under uncultured bacterium. RNAcentral describes it as "partial 16S ribosomal RNA". It matches the Rfam family "Bacterial small subunit ribosomal RNA", at positions 28 to 507 of the family's 1533-position model. The record is from RNAcentral.
GAUGGACGCUGGCGGCGUGCCUAAUACAUGCAAGUCGAGCGAACGGACGAGAAGCUUGCUUCUCUGAUGUUAGCGGCGGACGGGUGAGUAACACGUGGAUAACCUACCUAUAAGACUGGGAUAACUUCGGGAAACCGGAGCUAAUACCGGAUAAUAUUUUGAACCGCAUGGUUCAAAAGUGAAAGACGGUCUUGCUGUCACUUAUAGAUGGAUCCGCGCUGCAUUAGCUAGUUGGUAAGGUAAAGGGUUACCAAGGCAACGAGGCAUAGCCGACCGGGGAGGGUGAUAGGCCGCACGGGAACGUAGCCGCGGUCAAGGGGCCUGAGGGAGGGAGCAGAAGGGAACGGUCGGCAGUGGGCGAAAGCCUUGCGGAGUGACGCCACGCGUGUCAUGGAGGUGCUGGGUUCGGAAAGCUCUGUUUUGAGGGGUAAACAUAUGUGUAAGGAGAUGAGCAGAAAUUGACGGUACCUGAACAGAAAGCCACGGCUAACUACGUG